CGCCUCCACCGCUUACUUCCUAUGUAUGAUCCAUCUUUUCUCUUCUAAUCCCACUCUACCCGUUAACAUCUCUAAACACCCACCUCUAUCAAUCUCUUGCUUACUCUUUUAUUCUCCUAGCAAAUCAAUGAUGGACACCCCCUUACUUUCUACUGCUUUCUCGAUGCUUCUAUCUUCAAAUGUUUCCACCGAAUCAUUCACAGUCACUACCGUCUUGCUCCUCCGACUUCCAACUGCGACGCCCCUCGAGACGACUUCUUCAAAAACAACGACUUUUGGAGAUGAAACCCGUCGUCUGCCUCUAUGAGCUUAAGGAACCUGGGAUGGAACCAAGGUUUUAGUUUGGAUUUGAAAUCAAAUUACAAUUCAAAUUUGGAAUUCAAUCUUCUUCUGCUCUAUCCCCAAUACAGAACAAAAAAAGAAGAAGACAGAUGCCGAUGGUGAUGGUGACGGUGCCGACCACCGGAAAUUGCAGCGGGGGCGUCCAUUCGGUGGCUAUUAGAGGUAUCCGGGGACUGAGUUGUUGAACGAAGUGGAUAUAAUCGAUUCCUCUUUACAAGAUGUAUCUCCAACGCUACCUGGCUAAAACCGGGUGUACAACCGUUACAUAGCCAAUAUGACUAUGAAAGUGAAAAACAUACAAUACUUAAGAUUAGUAAUGAAGCAUUGGUUACAAGCGGGUUUGGUGCGGCAACAGUCGCAUCAGCUAUUUAACAUUGCUUCUUCAGAAGAACUUGAUAAAUGAUGACAUUAACGAUUAUGUGGAAGAGAGUUGAGCUUCAACAUGCUAAAGGGUCUAAUACCUAAUUGAAUGUAAGUUUGUUGCUCUUAGCAGUUACUAAUUGUAGUUUUUUGUUAAAAACUAUGCAUGUUGCUGUUAUUGAUAAAUGCAUGUGAAUAUAUUUAUGUUUUGGCAAAAAUAAUAAGUAUUUUGCUAUUAUUGAUAAAUAAACAUAAGUAUAUUGCUGUUUUUUGGUAAAAAUAAUAAGUAGGGUGCUAUUAUAUAUUAAUAAAUGCCAAUAACAUUUAGGAAUAAAGGUGCUUAUAUUUUCUUUUCUUCCUAUUAUAACAUUGUAGUUUAAAAAAAGUGAAAGUAGGAUUCUAUGAGAAGUUGUUAUGAAGUUUUUCAUAUUUCGUGAUUGCAAUUUUCAACUUCUCAUACCUUGCUCAUUCCAUUCCUUUUUGGGUUGUAUUAAGAAGUUGUUAUGAAUGAAUGUAUUUUGUGUUGAAUGAUGGUGGCAUCUGAGUGAAGUAUAUUUGAAGGAGAUAGAGAAAAAGAUAAAUGAGUUGGCUUAAGAUGCUAUGGUGUUUGUAGAUGAAAGGCCUGCUCCUUCAAGAACCCAACUGUUGGAGAAUAUGUUUGUUGAUCCAACAGGUGUUGUAAUUGCACCUGAUGACAGUUACAUUUACAUGUGUGAGGACCCCAAGUUUACCCAAAGAAACUGUUGUAAUUCAUUUCAAAUUGCUACUAUUUAAACAAGGUCAACUGUAAUAAAGGGUUAACUGCUUAGUAAACAAAAAAAAAAAAAAAACAGCCCCUCCGUCCCACGCGGAGCGUGGGCAUACCUGCUAGUUUUGAUUAAAAAGAGUAGUAAUUUCUAUUUGUUUCCAAGACACUUAUUGUAAUUUCUAUUUGUAAUAGGAAACUUUGUUAGUAUUUUCAUGUUGUAAAUUGUAAUAGAAAAACUAUAUUCAUAUUGUAUUUUGUAUUCUAUAUUUUAUAACUUUUCAAGCAAUGAUAUCACUUUGGAUCGUUCUUAUA
Long non-coding RNA from Lactuca sativa (garden lettuce), 1762 nucleotides. RefSeq lists it as uncharacterized. The record is from RefSeq and is a predicted model, not a curated record. Lineage: Eukaryota; Viridiplantae; Streptophyta; Magnoliopsida; Asterales; Asteraceae.